UACGUAGGGUGCGAGCGUUGUCCGGAAUUAUUGGGCGUAAAGGGCUCGUAGGCGGUUUGUCACGUCGGGAGUGAAAACACGGGGCUUAACUCCGUGCCUGCUUCCGAUACGGGCAGACUAGAGGUAUGCAGGGGAGAAUGGAAUUCCUGGUGUAGCGGUGAAAUGCGCAGAUAUCAGGAGGAACACCGGUGGCGAAGGCGGUUCUCUGGGCAUUACCUGACGCUGAGGAGCGAAAGUGUGGGGAGCGAACAGG
This 253-nucleotide ribosomal RNA is filed under the name uncultured bacterium. RNAcentral's name for it is "partial 16S ribosomal RNA". It matches the Rfam family "Bacterial small subunit ribosomal RNA", at positions 524 to 776 of the family's 1533-position model. The record is from RNAcentral.